RNAcentral lists this long non-coding RNA (525 nucleotides) under Vigna radiata. RNAcentral describes it as "long non-coding RNA (VRAD_LNC007388)". The record is from RNAcentral. Lineage: Eukaryota; Viridiplantae; Streptophyta; Magnoliopsida; Fabales; Fabaceae.
UGUAAUUUGCAUUUUUCCUGUAGUGCACUAUACUGAUUUGUGAAUGAUGACGUAUAAAUGACUAAUAGAAAAUAUGAUUUUUUAUUAAGUUAGGGUUUUAUAAUUUGGGGGAAAUAUGAUUUAGGGCAUAGAUAGAACCAAUUAGCGUCUUCUUCUCACACAAGAAGCGGAUUGGGGGAGCACGAUCACCCACCUUCAUCUUCUCUUCACUCAGUUUCUACUUCAUUUCGCAAGAAGGAGACAAUGAUAUCUUUUUCUUUUGUUCUCGUUCAGAUUCGUGCCGCAAGGGGAGAAUGCUUCAUUUCUCUUCUUUUUCUUGGUUCUGGGUGGGGGUUUUUGCACAUUGGGGAUGUGAGUUUAGGUGCUAGGAUACAAACUCCUUUCUCACGGUGCAAUAAGUCUUGCAGCAACGGUGCCUCUACGAUGACUCGGCUCCUGACGUAUUUGCGGUGCCAGAGUCCCUGUUUAAUAUCGUCGUUAUGAAGAACAGACCGACGUUUCGCAGUGUGGUGGUCUCCGUUCUCC